CAAAUGGAUAGGAUCCAGUGGCAUUCUCCAUUACCCCAACCCUAGCAGAGAACUCAGCCCCCUCAAUAAACUUUUACGGAAUAAAGGUACUUUUGCUUCCGUCUCUCUCUCUGUUUGGGACAAAGAAAUAGGAGUGGAAUAGGGGCACCACCUUGCAGCGAUGGAACAGGUGCUUUUGGUUCUUCAAAUUAAUCUCAACUCACUCAUGUUGCAAAUCAAUCCUCUCCUCUAAUGUCAAUAAAAAAACCUUCCUAAGAGCAGGUAACCGAAGUUUGAUGCAAGACAAACUCUUUCAUGGAGUCUGAAACCAGUGGAAGCUCGUCCAUGUCGCAGAUCUUGGAUCCCAGUUCACCAUAGUUCCUGCAUGCGUCAAACAACCCAGGGCUCGUUCUGGUCUCAUGCCUGCUCACCGGAGAAAAUUAUCCGGUAUGGCAUCAAGCGAUGAGAAUGGCACUUCGUGCAAAGAACAAGCUCUGUUUCUUUGACGGAUUGUUGCCCCGACCACCCAUCGCUUCACCGGAAGAAAAUGCCUGAUCCAAAUGCAAUGUGAUGGUGACAUCUUGGAUUUCAAUUUCCUCUCUAAAGAACUAUAUGGAAGCGUUGCCUUCGUCGAAUUUGCAUCAGAAAUCUGGUCCGAGCUCCAAGAACGGUUUUCUCAAAGGAACGUUCCUCACAUACAUCAACUGAAGAAUGAUCUGGCCUUACUUCAACAAGGAGAAUUAGGCAUUUCUGUAUAUUUCACCAAACUGAAAACGCUCUGGGAUGAGCUGGCCAACUUAACCGACUUGCCCGAAUAUUCCUGCGGUGGCGCAGCAAGACUCUUUGCCAUUGAAUGCGAAAAGGAACGUUUACACCAGUUCUUGAUGGGACUCAAUGAGUCCUAUAAUGUCAUUAGAUCAAGUAUACUCGGAUGAGAACCACUCCCAAUGUUAAAUAAAGCCUAUGCCCUUGUUCUCCAAGAAGAAUGACACCAGACAAUCUCGGCGAUGCAAGGACCAGCACCGGAAGCUGCAGCCAUGAACGCUUCAUCCAAGCCCCCAUCUCGGUCCUCAACAACUUGUUGUUCCAAAUAUUAUUGCGUGGACAUACAAGAGAUCGGUGCUACCAACUAGUGGGAUAUCCACCUGGAUGGGAUAAAUCCCAAUUAAAUCAACGGGGCGAUAAUCAGCGAUCUAGCUCCUGUGCAACUUCCGAAGCCACCGAAGCAUCAACCAGUAGCACUCCUUCACUUCCCACUCUGACAGUCCAAUAGAUCAACCAGUUUCUAUCCCUCUUGAGCAAAGAAUCUGAUGCCAUUUCUGCCAAUACCGCUGGUAAGACUGCAACCAAUGUUGAGUGGAUACUAGAUAGUGGUGCCACAAACCAUAUGAUUUCAUCCCCAUCAUGCUUUAUUGAUUAUAUCACAUUCGAUAAACCCAAGAUUGUUCGACUGCCCAAUGGAGACUCUGUUCCAGCCAUAUCAGAAGGGUCUGUAUCCCUGGAAUCUUUGAUCAUUACAAAUGUGCUUUACAUACCUCAAUUGACAUGUAAUUUGCUAUCUGUCAGUAGACUAACACAACAACUCAAUUGUGUUAUUUCCUUCCUUUCUUCCAUCUGUGUUCUCUAGGACUUAGCUUCCAAGAAAGUGAUUGGGGUGGGGCAUCGGCAUGAAGGCCUCUACCAGUUCACCUUCGCCUCUUCUCAGUCACUUGCUCACACUGCCACCACAACCCCAACUUUAGCCAUCUGGCAUUACCGCUUAGGACACGCUUCUCGUCAAUGCCUCUCUUCGAUACUUGGUGUUCCCCUCAAUGCUUCAAACUACUGUUGUGAUGCUUGCCACCAAGCAAAACAAACUUGAAUCCCUUUUCCUAUAAGACAAACAAAAUCCUCUCAACCUUUUCAACUAGUGCAUUGUGAUAUUUGGGGGGGUGGGGGGUAUAAAACUCCAUCACACACUAGAGCACACUACUUCCUCACAUUGGUUAAUGAUUUUACCAAGUGUACUUGGGUUUACUUCGGAAUAAAUCAGAAGCAGUUGUUUUCUAGCUCUUUUUUUGUGCUAUGGUUCCCCGCCAAUUUGGGUAUGCAAUUCAAGUUGUAUGCUCAGAUAAUGCAUCUGAGUUUUAUGCUUGCCCUCUUUAAAAUUACUUCGCUGCACAGGGCAUUGAACAUCAGUGUAGUUGUGUAAACACGCCCCAGCAGAACGGUGUGGCUGAGAGAAAACAUUGGCAUUUGUUGGAAGUGUCCAGGGCAAUCCAAUUUCAUGCUCACAUGCCUAUCUCAUUUUGGGGUGAGUGCCUACAAACAGCAGUUUACAUUAUCAACCGACUUAUGACCAGGGCAACCCACACCUCUUUUAUCUAGAAAAUCACCCUAUGAAAUGUUAUUUCACACCCCACCAUCUUAUGACCACAUGAAGGUGUUAGGUUGCAUCUGUUAAAUGUUAUUUCACACCCAAACCACGUGACAAAUUUGCUAGAAGAGCCAUUAGAUGUGUUUUUUUGGGCUACCCUUAUGACCAUAAAGGGUAUCGGCUUUAUAACCUUGAAACCAACCAAUUAUUUACAAGCCAAGAUGUCACCUUCUACGAGUCUCAAUUCCCUUACUCAAAUCAGCAAUGUAAUGCUGACCAACCUCCACCAACACCAAGACUCUUUCCCCCUAUAAACCCAACAUUUGAUGACUUCACUACACCACCAACUUCCCCUGAAUUUCAUCCACCAGCACAAGAUCCAACUACAGUUGCAUCCAUUCCACCAAUGCCUCACAACACCUCUACACCCAUGCCUACUAAAUGCGUUGUUGAUGAGCUAAGCGCAGCCAGGCCUAUUUGGCUGACACAAAAGAACACUUAAAACCCCCUCUCACCUCCAAGAUUUUGUUUGUGAUCUCCCACCUUCCCUAGCCCCCCAAUCCAACUCAGCUAGUACCUCAUAUUUAGAAUCAGACCCCACCACCUUUACUCAAGCCAAUGCUGAUCCGCGAUGGCGGAAGGCUAUGGCUGAUGAGAUUUCUGCUCUUGAACAUAACAAUACUUGGACUCUUGUUGAUUUACCACCUGGAAAACGAGCCAUUGGAUCCAAGUGGGUGUACAAAAGUAAAUACAAAGCCGAUGGUUCAGUUGAAUGGUUCAAAGCUCAUUUGGUAGCCAAAGGAUACACCCAAGUUGAAGGUUUGGACUAUCAUGAUACCUUUGUGCCAGUUGCAAAAUUAUCAAUUGUUCGAUGUCUAUUUGUUGUAGCUGCUAUUAAGAAAUGAGAACUUCAUCAAUUCGAUGUUAAUAAUGCAUUCUUACAUAGAUCUCCAUGAGUAAGUGUAUAUGGCCAUUCCUCAAGGCUUUGCCAAAGAUGGUGAUAAUAAAGUUUGCAAACUCCAGAAAUCUCUUUAUGGGCUCAAACAAUCUCAUACUGAUUACUCCCUCUUUACAUCCACAAAUGGUGACUCCUUUGUCACAGCCCUAGCUUAUGUCAAUGAUGUUCUACUUGCCGGCAUGCCUCCGGUUUGUGGUUGUUUUUCUCUGUAGGAGGCCUUCAUGCCUCCGGUUUGUGGUGAUUGGUAGGAAGCUCUCUAUUCGAUGGUAUGAAGAGAGCAGGUUCGGUGAAAAGUGUUCACUUGAGUACAAGUUGGUUCUGCAGAGUGCAGUGUAAGUGUUUGGUUUAAUGUCUGAGUGAUUUCAGCCCUUGUAUUUGGUGUGUGAAUAGUUUUGCAGUGUGCAGUAUAGGUGUUUGAUUUAAUGACUGAGUGAUUUCAGCUCUUGUAUUUGGUGUGUGAGUGGU
Molecule: non-coding RNA, 3758 nt
Organism: Nelumbo nucifera (sacred lotus)
Lineage: Eukaryota; Viridiplantae; Streptophyta; Magnoliopsida; Proteales; Nelumbonaceae
Source: RefSeq, a predicted model, not a curated record